RNAcentral lists this ribosomal RNA (627 nucleotides) under uncultured bacterium. RNAcentral describes it as "bacterial SSU rRNA". The stretch from base 1 to 540 matches the Rfam family "Bacterial small subunit ribosomal RNA", at positions 338 to 873 of the family's 1533-position model. The record is from RNAcentral.
CCUACGGGAGGCAGCAGUGGGGAAUAUUGGACAAUGGGCGCAAGCCUGAUCCAGCCAUGCCGCGUGGGUGAAGAAGGCCUUCGGGUUGUAAAGCCCUUUUGUCCGGAAAGAAAAGCACUGGAUUAAUACUUCGGUGUUCUGACGGUGCCGGAAGAAUAAGCACCGGCUAACUUCGUGCCAGCAGCCGCGGUAAUACGAAGGGUGCAAGCGUUACUCGGAAUUACUGGGCGUAAAGCGUGCGUAGGUGGUUCGUUAAGUCUGAUGUGAAAGCCCUGGGCUCAACCUGGGAAUUGCAUUGGAUACUGGCGGGCUAGAGUGCGGUAGAGGAUGGCGGAAUUCCCGGUGUAGCAGUGAAAUGCGUAGAGAUCGGGAGGAACAUCUGUGGCGAAGGCGGCCAUCUGGACCAGCACUGACACUGAGGCACGAAAGCGUGGGGAGCAAACAGGAUUAGAUACCCUGGUAGUCCACGCCCUAAACGAUGCGAACUGGAUGUUGGGUGCAACUAGGCACUCAGUAUGAGCACGACGUUAGUUCGCCGCCGUGGGAGGUACGGUCGCGAGACGAGAAACGUUAAAGUAAGUAGUAGACGAGNGAGAGACGACGGACGACGACGACGGAGGGAGGNGG